AAUAGAUACCCCGGUAGUCCACGCCCUAAACGAUGCUCACUAGGUGUUGGGGAAGCGAUUCCUUGGUACCGUAGCUAACGCGUGAAGUGAGCCGCCUGGGGAGUACGGCCGCAAGGUUAAAACUCAAAGGAAUUGACGGGGACCCGCACAAGCGGUGGAUGAUGUGGAUUAAUUCGAUGCAACGCGAACAACCUUACCUACCCUUGACAUGUCGCGAAUCCUGCUGAGAGGCGGGGGUGCCCGAAAGGGAACGCGAACACAGGUGCUGCAUGGCUGUCGUCAGCUCGUGUCGUGAGAUGUUGGGUUAAGUCCCGCAACGAGCGCAACCCUUGUCCCUAGUUGCUACGCAAGGGCACUCUAGGGAGACUGCCGGUGACAAACCGGAGGAAGGUGGGGAUGACGUCAAGUCCUCAUGGCCCUUAUGGGUAGGGCUUCACACGUCAUACAAUGGACGGUACAGAGGGUUGCCAACCCGGCGAGGGGGGAGCCAAUCCCAGAAAGCCGUUCGUAGUCCGGAUUGCAGUCUGCAACUCGACUGCA
Molecule: ribosomal RNA, 540 nt
Filed under: uncultured bacterium
Lineage: Bacteria
Description: bacterial SSU rRNA
Rfam family: Bacterial small subunit ribosomal RNA
Source: RNAcentral